RNAcentral lists this ribosomal RNA (253 nucleotides) under uncultured bacterium. RNAcentral's name for it is "partial 16S ribosomal RNA". It matches the Rfam family "Bacterial small subunit ribosomal RNA", at positions 524 to 776 of the family's 1533-position model. The record is from RNAcentral.
UACGAAGGGGGCAAGCGUUGUUCGGAAUUACUGGGCGUAAAGGGCGCGUAGGCGGCGACCCAAGUCAGAUGUGAAAGUCCUGGGCUUAACCUGGGGACUGCAUUUGAUACUGGGUUGCUUGAAUUCGGGAGAGGAUAGCGGAAUUCCCAGUGUAGAGGUGAAAUUCGUAGAUAUUGGGAAGAACACCGGUGGCGAAGGCGGCUAUCUGGACCGACAUUGACGCUGAGGCGCGAAAGCGUGGGGAGCAAACAGG